UACGGAGGGUGCGAGCGUUGUUCGGAAUCAUUGGGCGUAAAGCGCGUGUAGGCGGCUUGGCAAGUCGGGUGUGAAAUCCCGGGGCCCAACCCCGGAACUGCAUUCGAAACUGCCUCGCUAGAGUCCCGGAGAGGAAGGCGGAAUUCCCGGUGUAGAGGUGAAAUUCGUAGAUAUCGGGAGGAACAGCAGCGGCGAAGGCGGCCUUCUGGACGGUGACUGACGCUGAGACGCGAAAGCGUGGGGAGCAAACAGG
This 253-nucleotide ribosomal RNA is filed under the name uncultured bacterium. Its description in RNAcentral is "partial 16S ribosomal RNA". It matches the Rfam family "Bacterial small subunit ribosomal RNA", at positions 524 to 776 of the family's 1533-position model. The record is from RNAcentral.